Molecule: ribosomal RNA, 119 nt
Filed under: Pteropus alecto (black flying fox)
Lineage: Eukaryota; Metazoa; Chordata; Mammalia; Chiroptera; Pteropodidae
Source: RNAcentral
GUCUAAAGCCAUGCCACCCUGAAUGUGCCGGAUCCUAUCUGAUCUUGGAAGCUAAGCAGGGUUGGGCCUGGUUGGUACUUGGAUAGGAGACCACCUACAAAGACCAGGUGCUUUAGGCA